RNAcentral lists this ribosomal RNA (590 nucleotides) under uncultured bacterium. RNAcentral's name for it is "bacterial SSU rRNA". It matches the Rfam family "Bacterial small subunit ribosomal RNA", at positions 102 to 679 of the family's 1533-position model. The record is from RNAcentral.
ACGGGUGAGUAACACGUAGGUAACCUGCCUAUGAGACUGGGAUAACUAUCGGAAACGAUAGCUAAGACCGGAUAACUGGUUUUCUCGCAUGAGAGAAUCAUGAAACACGGAGCAAUCUGUGGCUUAUAGAUGGGCCUGCGGCGCAUUAGCUAGUUGGUAGGGUAAUGGCCUACCAAGGCGACGAUGCGUAGCCGACCUGAGAGGGUGACCGGCCACACUGGGACUGAGACACGGCCCAGACUCCUACGGGAGGCAGCAGUAGGGAAUCUUCCGCAAUGGACGCAAGUCUGACGGAGCAACGCCGCGUGAGUGAUGAAGGUUUUCGGAUCGUAAAGCUCUGUUGCCCUAGACGAACAGCAUGAGGAGUAACUGCCUUGUGUGUGACGGUAUAGGAGAAGAAAGCCCCGGCUAACUACGUGCCAGCAGCCGCGGUAAUACGUAGGGGGCAAGCGUUGUCCGGAAUUAUUGGGCGUAAAGCGCGCGCAGGCGGUUAAUUAAGUUGGGUGUUUAAGCCCGGGGCUCAACCCCGGUUCGCAUCCAAAACUGGUUGACUUGAGUGUAGGAGAGGAAAGUGGAAUUCCACGUGUAGC